This 1358-nucleotide ribosomal RNA is filed under the name uncultured bacterium. RNAcentral describes it as "bacterial SSU rRNA". It matches the Rfam family "Bacterial small subunit ribosomal RNA", at positions 28 to 1381 of the family's 1533-position model. The record is from RNAcentral.
GAUGAACGCUAGCUACAGGCUUAACACAUGCAAGUCGAGGGGCAGCAUGGUCUUAGCUUGCUAAGGCCGAUGGCGACCGGCGCACGGGUGGGUAACACGUAUCCAACCUGCCGUCUACUCUUGGACAGCCUUCUGAAAGGAAGAUUAAUACAAGAUGGCAUCAUGAGUCCACAUGUUCACAUGAUUAAAGGUAUUCCGGUAGACGAUGGGGAUGCGUUCCAUUAGAUAGUAGGCGGGGUAACGGCCCACCUAGUCUUCGAUGGAUAGGGGUUCUGAGAGGAAGGUCCCCCACAUUGGAACUGAGACACGGUCCAAACUCCUACGGGAGGCAGCAGUGAGGAAUAUUGGUCAAUGGGCGAGAGCCUGAACCAGCCAAGUAGCGUGAAGGAUGACUGCCCUAUGGGUUGUAAACUUCUUUUAUAAAGGAAUAAAGUCGGGUAUGCAUACCCGUUUGCAUGUACUUUAUGAAUAAGGAUCGGCUAACUCCGUGCCAGCAGCCGCGGUAAUACGGAGGAUCCGAGCGUUAUCCGGAUUUAUUGGGUUUAAAGGGAGCGUAGAUGGAUGUUUAAGUCAGUUGUGAAAGUUUGCGGCUCAACCGUAAAAUUGCAGUUGAUACUGGAUAUCUUGAGUGCAGUUGAGGCAGGCGGAAUUCGUGGUGUAGCGGUGAAAUGCUUAGAUAUCACGAAGAACUCCGAUUGCGAAGGCAGCCUGCUAAGCUGCAACUGACAUUGAGGCUCGAAAGUGUGGGUAUCAAACAGGAUUAGAUACCCUGGUAGUCCACACGGUAAACGAUGAAUACUCGCUGUUUGCGAUAUACAGCAAGCGGCCAAGCGAAAGCGUUAAGUAUUCCACCUGGGGAGUACGCCGGCAACGGUGAAACUCAAAGGAAUUGACGGGGGCCCGCACAAGCGGAGGAACAUGUGGUUUAAUUCGAUGAUACGCGAGGAACCUUACCCGGGCUUAAAUUGCAGAUGAAUUACGGUGAAAGCCGUAAGCCGCAAGGCAUCUGUGAAGGUGCUGCAUGGUUGUCGUCAGCUCGUGCCGUGAGGUGUCGGCUUAAGUGCCAUAACGAGCGCAACCCUUGUUGUCAGUUACUAACAGGUCAUGCUGAGGACUCUGACAAGACUGCCAUCGUAAGAUGUGAGGAAGGUGGGGAUGACGUCAAAUCAGCACGGCCCUUACGUCCGGGGCUACACACGUGUUACAAUGGGGGGUACAGAGGGCCGCUACCACGCGAGUGGAUGCCGAUCCCCAAAACCUCUCUCAGUUCGGACUGGAGUCUGCAACCCGACUCCACGAAGCUGGAUUCGCUAGGAAUCGCGCUUCAGCCACGGCGCGGUGAAUACGUUCCCGGGCCU